This 642-nucleotide long non-coding RNA is filed under the name Vulpes vulpes (red fox). RNAcentral's name for it is "lncRNA (ENSVVUG00000029228.1)". The record is from RNAcentral. Lineage: Eukaryota; Metazoa; Chordata; Mammalia; Carnivora; Canidae.
AAUGAUUCUUCUUUCUGAAAUCCACUUGUUUUUUAUUUCUUGGCCUGUUUAUUUCCUGUUUCCUGCAGUAGACUAACCCCAGCGAUAAAAGGCAGCAAGCAAUCUUCCUGUGUUGUUCCCUGCCUUGUUCCCAAAGCAUUGCACGGCCCUUGGCACACAGUUGGUACUCAACAAAUGCUUAUCGACUUAAGAAUGGACCGCAUUGGCAGCGUUGGCUUUUCAACUCUGAUCUCCUGAGACUCUCUCAGAUGGGAAGCCUGGCUGUCCUGCCUGGAACCUCUGAGACUGUUCUGCUCCUCACACCCUCUCAGAAGCAUCCCAGCAAGCCCUGUGGGAUUCAGUGUGGGUCUCUUGAGAGUGGAAACACCCUCUACCUAUGUGUCACUGUGCCUCUCUUCCUGACACCACCCCCACUGGGAUCCACGAGAGAGGAGCAGAAGAACGGACCUCAGGCUGGGAGGCCAGGGCCGGUGUCUCUAAGGAGGGGGUGUUUUUGCCGAAGGACCUGAAAGACCAGAAGGGGUCGACCAUAUAACUGAGCACAUGGGGUUUCACAUGGGGAGAAGAAUAAGGGCGAAGUCUUGAGGUGUGGUUGUUUCUGGGCAUAAAGAGGAGACCAGUAGGGCUGUUGAGAAGUGUAGA